Molecule: unclassified non-coding RNA, 5738 nt
Filed under: Polistes fuscatus (common paper wasp)
Lineage: Eukaryota; Metazoa; Arthropoda; Insecta; Hymenoptera; Vespidae
Description: cilia- and flagella-associated protein 44, transcript variant X2
Source: RNAcentral
ACGAGCACCUUCAUAAACUUUAAUUUGAAAAUAGAUAACCGAUAUUCAUUGUAAAUUUGAUUGAUAAUAUAAUGAUUGAAUUAGUUGAAUUAAUUAUAUUUAAAUGAUGUGUUGUCAAGUGAAGCAAAUUAAUAAUAUUGUGAUUGGUCGAACUAUUCUAGUUAUUAAAUAAAUUUCUGACAUUUUUUAAACCAACCAAUCAGCGAUCGUGUUUUAUAAAGUGUAAGAAUUACAAAUUUCAAAUUAGAUAUAACACUUUCGAAAUAUAAAGUCUCAAAUUUAAUUAAAUUAUAAAUGAUAAACAGUCUUACAAUUAAUGUCGCCUAUGAUUAUAUAAACAAAACAAAAAUCAUAAGACAUUUAUUUCAAACUAUCUAUAAACAAACUUGAAUGUGUUUGGAAUUCCAAUGGCGUUAACAUGGUUACCCAAAAUUAUUUAGAAUCACGAAAAUGUUCCCUAACAGAUUCGUUUAAUAAAAGAUAUAUAAGACAAAGUUGCAUUUAAAAAAUCGUCAUGAUUGAUACAGACGAUGAGAUAGAAGCAUUAGAAAAUUUCCGAGAUGAUCAAGAAAAUAAUAAUCAAAAAAUAUUUAAUGAAAGUGGACCAAAAUAUUAUGAUUUAAAAACACAUAUUUCAAAACCUUUUCGUGUUCCAAAUGGUACUGUACCUAUAAAUAUUUUAGAAUUUGAUCAUUCUUUUUCAUACGAUUGUCAGAAAUAUUUUAAUUUUUGUGUAGCUGAUCCAAAUACAAUUAUUUUUGCUUCCGGUAAUAUAAUUCAUUUUUUAAAUGUAACUACAAGAACAAUAUGGUUUCAACGAGGUGCCACGGGAGGUGGAAUUGGACAUAUAACUAAAAAUCCAAUGUUUGAUCAUAUUGCUAUCGCUGAAAAUGGAAUUGAUCCAUUGAUAACUAUUUAUCAUUGGCCAAGUAUGGAAAUUGUAAUGUGCCUUCAUGGUGGUACAAAAGAACAAUAUUUUCAUUUACAUUAUAGUAUGGAUGGUUUAUUACUAGCUUCUCAAGGAGGAAAACCAGAUUAUUUUAUAACAAUUUGGAACUGGCAAGAAUCUAAGAUUUUAUUACAAUCUAAAUCGCACUCUCAGAAUGUUUAUAAUGUAUUUUUUUCUACAUAUAUACCCGGGAAUUUAAUUUCAUGUGGUUUGGGACAUAUUAAAUUUUGGAAAAUGGCAAAAACUUUUACUGGUCUUAAACUUGAAGGUCAACUCGGAAAGUUUGGAAGAACUGAAGUUUCAGAUAUUAUCGGUGCUUAUCAAAUGCCUGAUAAAAAGGUAGUAUCAGGUUGCGAAUGGGGUAAUAUUUUGCUAUGGGAUGAAAAUUUGAUUAAAUUGGAAAUUUCUAGAAAAAAUAAAGAAUUUUGUCAUACAAAACCUAUUGUACAAUUAGAAUAUAUCAAUGCAGAGCUCUUCACUGUUGGGAUGGAUGGUUUCAUACGUGUUUGGUUUUAUGAUACUAUAGAUUUGGCAAAUCCAACAGAAGAAGAUCCAUUUCUUGAAAUGCAACCAAUUUAUGAGUUUUGCAUCACUGAGGAUGAAAACAAAAAUUCACAAAAAAAUGCAAUGCUAAUGGGCAUACAAAGACAAGAGCCAGAUAAUCCUGAGAAUACUUUUUGGUAUGCUCAGGAUGGCAAUGGUGGUUUAUGGCUAAUAGAUUUGAAUACUUUUAAAGAACCAGAAUUAUCACAAAAAAUAUUUACUUGUCAUGCAGGAGCAAUAAGCGAUAUGGAUGUUGCAGACUGGGGACCGUACGUUGCAACUAUUGAUAUAACUGGUCAUUUACAUAUUUAUAAUUACACAGAAAAGAAAUUAAUUCUUACUUAUCAUUUUCGUGAUUCUGGUAAGCAAGUCAUAUGGAUUCCAAGUAAAGUUGAUGCGACUGGAUCUACACUUGUAUGCGCUUUUGAUACUGGUAUUAUACGUAUGGUUAUCGUUGCAGUACUAAUUGCUAAUGAACAGAAUAAUAUAAAAGAAAAUUUCACUAAAUUAGUUCAAGUUUUGAAACCACAUUCGCAAUCAAUUAACGUAAUGUCAGUGAAUCCAUCGUGCAGUUUAUUAGUAACAGGUAGUGAUGAUUCUACUAUAUUUGUAUUUAAUAUUUCUACUACUGUUACUUAUCCUACUCUUCAGCCAAUUGGUUACAUAAAUAUGCCUUCAGCGAUAACUUGUAUGACAUGGAGACCCAAAUAUGAAUCAAUGUUAUUGAUUGGAUGUAUGAGAGGAGAUUGGGCAGAAGUUCAAUUACCACAAUCACCGCAAUCAUAUAUUAAAAUUAGUUAUGAGCUUACACAUUGUAAACCAGCUGUAUUUAAAUUUCAUUCGGUAAAAUCAGCUAUAAGAAGAAAUAUAAUUAAGAAUGAGAUUGAAAAGAAAAAGAUGAUCAAAGUAGCAAAGAAACGUGAAGAAAUGGAGAAAAUAAAAGAAGCAAAUCCUGGCAUCGAAAUCGAUGAAGAAGCUUUCCUUAUGGACUCCGAAGAGGAACCACCUCUUCCAGAAAUUUAUAUCCCAGAAAUACCAAACAAAAUUUUAAUGAUUCAAUAUACCAAUCAAGAAACAGUUUGGUUAUCAAUGGCUGGUUUUGAUGCAGGAUAUAUGUAUGAGUAUCCAGUACCAAAAAAAGACAUAAUUAUAGGAGCAGAACCAAUAAAAUCUACUGUGAUCUAUGAUGCGGAUGAUACAGAAAUACGAAGUUGUCUUUCAUAUAAACAAGAUAAAUAUUUGUUUUUGGGUAUGGAACGUGGUGAAAUAAGAAUUUGUAAAAUUAAUCCACAAGAUUAUAGCGAUCUUUCAGAUUAUUGGAUUUUACCUAUGCAUGACAAUUACAAUGGAUACAUACCAAAAAUGUUACUCAGUUAUGAUCAUAAAAUGUUUCUUACAUGUGGUUAUGAUGGAAAUCUUUUUUCUUAUAAAAUCAAUGAUAAUACUGCUGAUGAAAUAAUAGAAAUACCAAAACCAAACAUACCUGUGCGAUUGUUGGAUGAUAUAAACAGUGUGGAAGAUAUUGAAGAACCUGAUUAUCCUACUCUUGAAAAUGUUAUUGUAAAAACUGAACAUGACAGAGUCUCAGCGCUAGCAAGAAAGAAAAAAGAACAAACUCUUCAGACAUUACAUGAAUUAACUGAAGAAUAUUCCAAAAUAAUGGAUAGGAAUCGUAGUCUAUUAAAAUCACAGCAAAUUCCACGCGAAGAUUUGGAAUUAGAUCCACGAAUCACUACUGAUUUAAAUAAGCAAUUGGAAAUGGAAAUGGAUUUGGUACACAGAAAAGAAGCAUUUCAGAUUGAAAAGAGUAAACUUGCUUUAAAAAAGCUAAUGGAUCAUUUUAUUGAACCUAUUACUUGUGUACCUUUUGCUGUUUCUAAAAUACUAAAACCGGACACAAUGGUACACUCGAUACGAGAACAUAAAUUGGAUAGUAACUUUGAUAAUAUUUACACAGAAGUUGUCAAUUGCAUUACAAGAAGUAAAAAACCAACAAAAAAAGUGAAAGAAAAAUUAGCAACAGAAGAAAUUGAAGAACAAGAAGAACAAAGAGUAAGAGAUGCAGAAAGCUUCCUGAAAAGUCUUAAUCUUUCUGGUAUAGAGCAUAAGCUAAGUACACAAAUAAUUCAUAUGUUAGAAAAAUAUAAAACACGGAAAGCAAAAUUGGAAGAACGUCAAAGAGAAUGGAAUUUAAUGUCAACAAAAAAAUUUGAUUCUAAUAUAAAUCAUGCAGAUGAUAUAGCAGCUAUUGAAUUGGCAAAAAAAACGAUCGGUGUAUACAAUCUGAAAGAUUCGCCACAAUUAAAUGUACAAAAUCAGAUAGAAAAUUUAACGAUGAUAAAAUACAAGCAAUAUUUAGAUUGCAAAAAAAGGCUUCAUCAUCUACGUGAUAAUUUCAAUACAAGAUUAAAGGAAGUUCGAGGAAAUAAGCAGGUUUUGUGUUCAAAAGUUGUGAAAUUGAAUGAAACGUUAAACAAAAUUCAUGCGGAAAUACCCAAAAAAAAUAUUAAAACUUUACCCAAUUUACCUAUAAUUGACAAUGAUAUUGAAUUUCCUGAAGAAAAUUUAAAAUUUGAAAAAUAUAUAUCAAUGGUGGAACAAGCAAAGGAAGCUAAACAUUACAGAGAAUCAAUAUUUUUAUAUGAAAUUCCUGAUUUAAUGGAUGAUACAAUGGAUGAAGAAUAUGAAGUUUUAUUAUUAAAAAAUGAAAAUAUUCAUGCAAGUGAAGAAUUUAGUUUAUCAAGUAUUAUAGAUGUACCUGAAAGGAAAAUUAAAGUCAAAUCACUUAUUCAUCCAAAGUUAUCUCAAGGAUUAGAUUCUGCUGAUCACGUCGAAACAGCAUGGGAACGUGAAAUGAAACAAUCUCGUAUGUUGCGUAAAAUUUAUGAUCAAGAUUGUAUUUUACAAUAUAUUGAAACUUCUUACAAAGAAUUUGAUAAACAAUUGGACAGACUAGAAAAGGAAAGACUUGACAUUAUUGUGGAAAGUGUAUACGUAGAAUUACACUUGCUAACGCUUCAUCAGGAAUUUAUCAUAUUGAAAGAUUACGAAACGAAAGAAACUUCAUUAAAAAAGAAUGUCAAUGAAAAAUUAGAAAAACAAGCUGCUAUAAAACUAAAGAUACAUACAACUAGUAAUAAAAUAGAACGUAAAAAGAAAAGUAUUAACAGAUCACAGGAAUCAAUAAAAGACAUUUCUUACGAAUAUAUGACGAGUAUUAAAGAUAAUAAGUUUCAAGACUUUUUACGUAAAAUAUUUAAAAAGAAAUUCAAAUUGCCAAAAGAGCAUAACGACUCUGAAACAUCGAGUACUACAACGACUGAAACAAGUUCAGAAGAAGAUGAAGAAGGAAGCGUAGACAGUAAAGAUAUUGGAUUUAUUUAUUUUGAUGAGAAUAUAUGCCCCAUAGGCUGUGACAAAGCGUUAUAUGAUAUGGCAUUUGUUAUGAGAGAAAAACGUUAUGAAUAUGAGAAUGAAAUUAAAGAGGAAUACAAGGCGAUAGAAAAAUUACAAAAGGAAGUAGAAAUGGAUACCAAAAAAUUAAAAAUCAUUGAUGAUUUACUUAAAACGAAUGUCGAAGAAUUGGAAAAAUUUAUGUUGGAGAAACAAAAGAAAUUAAACGACAUAGAUGUAACGAUAGUUCUUAAAUUUCAUCAAUUGCAACAUUUUAUUAAUUCUUAUAGCGUGUCGAGCAUACGAGAAUCUAUUAUAUUUGAUAAAACAAAAUUAUCUCAAUUACACGAUAGAGUGGGAGAAUUACAGCAAGAAACAUACGACUUAUACGCUAAACAAAAGGCCAAUAAAGUUCAUCUUUAUAGAAUGAAAAUUGAUUGUAAACAUAUGAGAAAUGAAAUUAAAAAUUUAAAGAAUGAAAUAAAAGAAGAAAUGAAAAAGAAAUUUGGCAAAACAAUAUCAUUAACGACUAUGUAUGAAACAGUAUUACAAAGAAUGAUCUAUAAUAUUAAAAGUGAUUUAACAGAAAUGAUGAAAUCAUAUGAAGAACAACUUAAAUGUGUAUUCAAGAAAAAUAUAAUUCACAGCAAAUGGUGUUACGAAAACUUAUCCAAGAUAAUACAGAAAAAUUAAGUUUUUUAACUGUUCUAGAGGAAGAACAAUUAACUCUUAGAAAAGUUUUAAAACAAGUUCCUAUAUCCGAGGAAGAAAUGUUAAAAGUAGAAUUACAGUACAAAGCAGACAUAGUCAAAUUCGAAAACAUUAUUGUUCAUCAAAAAAAACAAAAAGAAAU